GUAUAUUCGAAGAAAAACUUAUAGUAAAGGGAUUUAAACGUUUUAUAUAUUUACAUAUACAUAUACAUACAUAGAUAUAUUUAUAUAAAAGGUUUAAUCUCAUUUUCAUUUUAUAAUUAUAAUAUUCGAAGAGUAUAUAUAUGUAAAUCUAAAAUAUCGUAGUUUAGAUUUGUUAAAAUCAAUUGCAAAAAUCCAAUUCAAUCAAAAUCAAUUAAAUUCAAUUACAAUGCUCAUGUAUGUUACGGACAUACGCAUUAAAUUUUGAUAUUUCACACGUUUUUGAUAACGUUUUGGCAAUAAAGAUUAUGGAAAGUUUCUUCUUUAUACAACGUUCAGUUUUAAGUAUAUAAAGUACCUUUAUAAUAUUACUGCAAUUUCUCUAAGUAAAUUUAAUUUUGACUGAAUUAAAUAAUAAUUUUUUACUUUACUGAGAAUAUCAUACGUUUUACAUACAACUAUAAUAUUCAGAAACUGAGAGUAUAAGAUUAUUUUUCUGUAAGAUUUUUAAAUUCCUUAUAACCGUUGACUAAUUAGACUAAUUAGAAGCAGAAUCAAUAAAAUUUCUGUUGAAUUUGACAGCAAACUUAAGUUAUAAAAUUCGAAAUUCUCCUUCGACAGUUCCUCGCACUUCCUUAUUACUCAACUCAAAAUAUAAACGAUGAAAUCUUAAUUAUUGGUGAAGCGAUUCAGGCUCAAAAUAUGCCUUGCUGGAUACAUAGUAGCCGAUGAAGCUAUCUUUAUAUUACAUUUUAAAAGACAGAAAUCACCGUACGCGGGACAAGAUGGAUAUCCCGGGACAGUCGUAUAAAGUGUGGCUUUAUAAGGUUCUUUUACAACCAUGAUCUUCGCGCUUAUCCGAUCGUCGUGGAUCACCGCGAACGGUUCCCUUACGAUCGUUCUAACGCGACUUCCGCAAUAACACGUAGAAUGACUGCGCUGUUCAGAGUCGUAUCUUUGACGCGCCUUUAAAAUUUUAACAUCAGGUGUAUAAACGCUACGUUCUUUCAAAGAUGCACACGUGGACGAUUAACUAAGUUUCUAAAAUGUUAUUGGCACGUGUAUGUACGUUCUGAAGUACGUAGUCGGCAUUCGUAUCCUCUAAAUCGGAUAAAGAUAAUAAAAUUGUAUAACUUGGAAAAUGCAAAACGUGUACUUUGAUAACGCCUAUAAAAGUACGUGAAAAUAACGUACGUGGUAAAGAGAGAGGCAACUAGGUUUAUACUUUUUAAUUUCAAAAAUUAAUAUUUAUGAAACUAGAAAACACAGCUAUAUUAAACACAGCUAAUAGAUUACUAGUAUCAUACACAUACUUCUAAAAAUUCGAAUUCUUCUCUCAACGUACUUCGUCAGAAAUUCUCGAACGCCACUAUUCCUAAUCCGCCUUUAUUGACGUUCUACAUCACAAAAUACUUCCUAAUCAUCAGCGACAUGGCCAUAAAUUACGAAGCAAUUCCAUUCGGUGCCUUCAUCACGAUUCGAUUCACACACCAAUGGACUUCCAUACUUUUCGCACGUUUCAUCUUCAAGUGUGCUGACGCGGGCGUUGUUCCAAACAAACGCGAGACCCUUAGAAACCGGAAGCUCCCUAUAAUUGGAAUCUCAUACCGUUCUCGAGCGCACGCUUGCGUCACGCCUAACUGUACACCAUACGGUGGAGACCAUCCGCACCGGUGGAUGCUAUUCAAGAGGUUCACGUUCCCGCCUACGCCAUAGAAAUGUUUUUCGGAGUUAUUCGUCGCCACGUUUGCGAUAUAGAAACUAUUGCGACGUUCCCCGUGUUUCCAUCGCUUCCUCGUACGGUUUGCCGAACAUCAUAAAUUAAACAAUUUAUGAAAUUAAAUAAAUUUUAUAUGGCAAUGGAAAAAGAUUUCUGCGUAUCAUACUAAACUUGUGAUCUGUAGAUUAUUGCUGAACUCGUUGUAGUUUUCUGUCGUUGACAAGUUUUUCAAAUUAGCGGUACCAGCUAUGAAGCUUAAUUCUUAAAAUUAAAAUAUACAGAAGUUGUAGUUGAUACGCAAUAAUUAGUUGUAAAUUAGUUAUAAUCGAGAUAAAAUUUUAUAACACAUUUUUAAAUUGGUUUAAUGUAUAUUGCAUUUCACAAGUAAUAUAUUUGAUUAGUAUAAAUGUUUCCGUUUGCAACACUUUCUUUCAUACCAACGAGUAAUUUGUCUUAUUUUCAUUAAUACAGUGAUUGCAGAAUAUUUUCCAAAAAUAUUAUAUCGAUAUUUCUAAAAUUGAUAGUAGAAAUACGUCCGUACAGAUUUAAUAAGUAGAAUGCGUACGUUAUGGCCAGACUUCGUCUCUCAAAUAUAUGAAGUAAUCAAACGAUACAAAUCGAAUAGUUCAUGCGUUGAAACACAUACAUGUUCACCAAUCCUCCGUUCAACCAUAACUUCCGAUCUAUACAAUAAUAGUAGUCGUCUGAUUUAUUUCAAUCGAUCCAAUGAUUCAUCUACCUUAUUCUUAUCUUUGCUAUUUGUUGAAUGAAUCUUGUUAAAUCGGAUAGUAUUGAAGAAAAUAUUGUUAUGGAACAUGGAAAGCAAGUGAUGUUAGGUCAUUUUAUCGAUAUAGAAGCAGCUGAACGUAUGCUGUCUAGAAACGGCUAAUUACUUGUUACCAACCUGUUCUCGGCUAACGUUGCGUCACGAGAUCGCUUAGGCGACUGCAUUGGAAACGUGAAUACAUACGCGGCUUAAAUCGCGCCUAAGCUAUACCAUUAUUCGAUCGAUUCCGUAAUACUGAAACACGUGAAUGAUAUUUCUAACGUUACGGCGUAUAAUUACUAUGCUAUAAAGAUAUUUAUGACCUCCAACGAAGUACCCGAUGAAAUCUUAUUACAGGUGCAUACGUGACCUAGUAUCGUGUAACAUUUAUGCUACUCCAUCAGCAAAUUGAUUGCAAAUUGAUCUGCAAAUAUUCGUAACUGUGAUAUUUAAUUCGAACGAAAUUGAUUAAUUCCCUUAGACGCCUGCAACAUCGUUUCUUGCAUAACGAUGUAGCAUUAUGAAAUCUUGCCCGAAGUGUGUACGUGAUAUAAUAUCACUUAACACUUCUAAUAUCCAAUGAAUAAGUUAAUACCGAAAGGUCUGAAGAUGCAUAUAAUUCUAGAAUAUUUAGUCUGAAUGAGAUUCUGAUGAGCGCUUAACCGAAGCUGAAUUUGAUUUAUUAUACUCUGAUAUUUGUAAUGAGCCUGCAAUCUGUAAGAUUACUUGGGAUAUCGUGUGUUGCGUGGGAAACUUAUUAUGCAUCCACGCGAAACUUCAAAGUGCAGAAAUGCAUAGAAUGCAUAUAAUGUAAACAAAAAUAUAUUAAAUAUCGAAGAUACCUGUUAUAACAUUUCAUAGGUAAAACAAUUGUCUACUUAAAUUCCAUUUUUCAAAUUAUAUGCUGAAGAACACGAACUUGCGUAAGUAUCGACGCAUAAUCGCGUCAAAUUUCCUAUAUGCUAUACACGACGCAUACACGAUCAAUUUAUUAUUAUUAAAAUAUCUACAAAUUAGCCAAUAGCUGGCAGACAUUCGAUUUGAUUAAUGUAUAAUGCGAACUAUUUGUAAGAUGAUACACGAUGAAGUUGUAUAACGAAACUUAAGCAAACAUGUUACGGGUUUAGAUCGUAACGGAGCUUUCUCAAUGUUCAACCACUUGUACGAAGAAUAAUGAUAUAGCGUUGAAACGAUCAUCGAUAUAAAAGUCCGGUUGCAUUCUCUCGGAAAGUGUGGCCGCGCCGAAGAUUUAUCGGACGUAACAUUUAACCCAUAUGAUAAAUAAUUCUCCGUUUAUGACCGUGCCGGGAACAUUCGUCUUCUAGAUGGAAGUUUGUCCUUCUUGUUGCACCACGGUACUCUCCCGUUAGCCGAGGAUGAAGGUUCAUCAAGGUCGUAUAACUUGACACAUACAGGUGGGAUGGGUUGCCACAAGUUGACAGCUGGCAUAUCUCCACGCGAAGGGAAAUUAUUCGUAUUUAUUACCACGUAUUAAGGAAAUUAUAGUUACAUCGUCAUCUUCCGUCAUCCUUCUUCUAUUCUUGCUUUCCUCUUUGCAUGGAUAAUUUAUUACGUUACCGUUUAGAACAUUUACAAUCUAAUAUUUUUAGAACAUGUUAUAUUUUCAAUAUUCUUGCAAAAUAUUUGUUUACUUUUCUUUUACUCAGAGUUUUAUUUUAACGAGUCUCAUUGCCAUUUUUAUAAGACGAAACUUGAAAAUAAUUUCAUAUAUUACGAAUAUUCUAGAAUAAUAUUCUCUGACCUACAGCACGGUAUAACACAACUAUCUCUUAACGGAUAAAAUCCAUUCCCUUUACACAAGCCUCUCUUACAACGCGAAGAACUCCAGACCGGCCUCGAUUAAUUCUAUCAUACAUCAAUUACAAUCACCAAUAACAUCCUCUAUAAAACCACGAACCAUUGGUGCAAUCGCUUGUCCAUAAACCCGUCGAUCGAAUUAUCCGAUCGAUCAGAGGUGUCUGUACACCUCGCUAGGAUAAUUAUUUCCACGCGUCGAACAGACCAAUGUUAUAUUCGACCUCUUCGACGAAUCGCUAUCGAGCCCUAAGUGUAUUUCGCAAACCAGGAUACUCUAUCUACUUGUUCUCGGUUAAAAAGAUUAAUGGACGUAGUAUGGCCAUGCUGGAGUCGAGGUCGAGGAAAAAAAGGUGAGAAGGUAACAAUGGUGUACGCAGUGAAAGAGUGCGGCAAAAUCCAUUUGCAUGGUCCCACGGUGGAAACGGAACGCUUGCGAAACGGUUGUUGUCGUAAAAGGUUCCGUGAUCGGAACAGGUGGUUCUACGGCGAAUCAGAGCCGUAACGAAAUUUCCUAUGGUCCACGUAGCUGGCAAUUAAUGAUCUUGUUUCACCGUCGACCGAUCAGACCAGCCUUGAGAUUUUUAUCUUCUUUCGUUCGACCCUCGUAAUGCGUUUUUCAUGUUACGUCGUAUAAUUUAGUCCGGCCUCUUCUCACCGUGCCUUUUAUUAGGCAUUGUAUCGAGCUCGUGGUUGUAAUUGCAUUGCGUAACGGUUAACUACGCGCAGAUACCGCGAGAUUUUAUUAGAAACGUUUAUGGAAAAUGGUUCGUGGAAAAUCCGUUUCCUCAGGGCGAUAAUGGCUCCCGCUGCGGGCCUCGAUAACACCUUACAAGCUGUUUGUAAACCGUGAUAAAGCAAGUUUAUAUUACGAUCCUCGCUCGUAAACUGAAUUUGGUUUUACGGGGAAAUUAACGACCCAGCUGCACGAUUAACCACGGAAUCUUAUUAAUCGUGCGAGAGAGUUGGUUUUGUCUGUUUUAUCCGUCGUGUGUAAGCAACAGCAUAAACUGGUUGUCUACGAUUAGGAAUGCCAUUCUUGUUGUUUCACUUUCUAUGUUUCGUGCGUGGUGAGAUUAGUUGAAAUUGAUAAACGGAACGUUUAUCCGGUCGCGUUGGCUUGUUCGAUAGGUAAGGUAUAAUUGCACCAGUUUCUUAUCUUUCUCUUUUUUCUAAAUAUGUAAAGCUCUUUUAUUUGCCAAUUUUUAUCACUUUAAACUGACAAACAGUUUUAUGCGAAGAAUCCGAAACUUACUAAAUUUGUAGAGUUGUAGCUUUCUUUAAAAUUCAAAAAUUCUCUAUUCUUUACUUUCAACGUUCUCGGAUUCCUAAUUCUCUACUUCUUUACACUUUCUUACUUUUAAAAUUCUUAAACUAUUGGAUCGGCAACUAAGUAAUUGCGGAUGUUGUCAUUAGGUGGUAUUGACAAAAUCCGCAAUCACUUAGUUGCCAACCCAAUACCAAUCCGUUACUUUUAAAAUUCCCAAAUCCACGAACCUCAAAAUCCACAUUAUCACGAUUCUAAAACCCAAGAAUUUCUUUCCAAUUUUAACCUUCUACAUCGAAAUUUUUCAUCUCUUACUUUCCAAUUUCUUACUUCUUUAGCCUUCAACGUUCUAUUGUACAUUCUACGCCCCUAAAUUGACAUAUCACAAUGCUGCGAUCUAGAAAAUCCUGUAGGCAGUAAUCAGAAGGAAUAGUCGACCAAGCCGGUGGUCUGCUUGGAAGGUUUCUGGCCCAACGGCGCGCACCCCAGCAGGUGACUGCGUAUCUCGCGCGCGACGAAUUGAUCAAGUAGAGCUUAAGUUUAAUGCGACCGUCUGUGGCAGUAAGCCGCGAGCAAUACUGGUGGAAUGGCGCAUUGCCUUUCUGUGGAACACCCACGCACGCACACGCGUGCCAGCCAAUAAUAUCUCGACCAAUCCACGCCCAGGUGUAAAACAUUCGCGUUACGUUUAUCUGCUCAUCGCGCAGCAGACGCAAGCCUGUUUUGGCAAUAUUCGAACGAGUAGACGGAGAGAAUGAGGAAGAAAGAACUUGUUGAAAGGGAUAUACUGAGACAUUUAUAGCUAGUUAUUCGUGCGAAUUUUUAUAUACUUGUAGGAAAUUUAAAAGCACAAAAAUUCACAGCCUACGUACAAUAUACAAUAAUGUAGAAUAUAGAGAAUCGAUCAUUAUGAUAUUUGAGCUGAUUCUGACGAUUUAACAAAAUAAUUCAUUGAUAGGUUUUGAGAAAUGAUAUAAUUUUUAUUUCAUACUUAUUCGAACGAUUACUCUUAGUAUUUUCUGUCGUUUGUGAUUUAUUAAAGUGGUAAUUUUUCAAACAAUAGCGCAAAAUUGCGUCAAAAUCGGUAUGUACUAGUCACAGAAAUCCUGGAUGAAGCUGUUUAGCAUUUGCAAUGUUUCAAAAGCAAUUAAAAUUCGGGCUAUCAAAAUUUUCGGCGAAAAAAGAAGCGUUUGUAACACUUUUAUAUCUAUUCUUUUUAUUCUUUCUCUUAUUUUCUUCUUCUUAUCUUACUCUUUUUAUGUAAAUCAGUGAUCUUGAAAUCGAUAUUUUCUCACGUGUUACCACAUUCUCGUUCAGUUCAAAAUUACGAUCAUUAUGCUAGAUAUCCAAUUAUUUCACCUACGCAAAGCAUCUGAUAAAAUCCACGUAAAAUGUUACUAUAUGUUUAUGAAAAUAUCUCAGAAGAUGUAGAAAGGUUCUGACAUUUACGCGACAUUUGUAUUUUUUAAAGUUCAUCUCGCUUCGUGUCCACCUUGACGAACCAAUAAAACUCACGCCGUAUCGCGAUACAUAUUAACCUUUCGAGCGGACAGUCGACCGAGGAAAGGAGAUCCCUCCAUUCGAUAGCUGGAAAUACAUCCGCGCGCGAGCUAGCUGCUCCGUGUCGAUGAAUCUCGAAAGAGGCUUGAGAUACCUGCGCGUGUCGGUAGCCAAUAGCCUGUUAAAUGGCCAGACAUUGACAUUCGAUGCGUUAGACAACAGAAACUCACGAGCAGACUGCCAAUUUUUAUGCAUUUUCAUAAAAUAUAAAUGUGCAAAAAUACGCAGAAUUCAUAUUGUAUGCGAAAAUAUAUAAAGAAUCUAAAACAGAACGUUCGUCGUAAUCUUUAAUAAAUGAAAAAAUCUUUAUUUUUCCAUUUUUCUUUCCAUUUAUAGACGUACGAAUUUCAAAAUUGAGAAGGAAGAACGGAAUGCUGAGAUAGCAUAGUGAGAUAGUAUAAUAAAAAAUAAAUUACUCGUUGGUUUAACGACCUUGAUAAUUCAGAUCGUUGAUAGUUGAAAAACAAUGAAAAAAAAAAAAAAAUGAAAUAUGUACAAACGCAUAAAUAUCCGCAAUCUAACGAUUACCGUUAUCGAUUCUCAAAAUAUUCAAGACUGUGGCACAAAGUUCGACCUCAUUCGGUUAUAUAACAUCGAGGCCUUUUUAGAAGAUAAAGUUAAUUCCGUGCACGAGGCGGAACGCGUUAAUUGUUCGUUCUCGGAAAAAGAGCAGGAGCGCGGGAAGGGUACCGAGAAUCCGAGCGUGCAGCAGGCAAAAUCACUGAACGGUGGUGACCUGCGGCCACGAACAUUCCGCGGCGAGCAGAUUCCAUGAAAAGUCAGCCAGCAUCCGCGCGCAUGCAUGCAUAUGCAGGGCGUGUCCAACGCGUCGCGACUAUUCCACGUAGCGAGAUACAUGGUGAAAAAUUAUCGCCAACGAGUGAUCGCAACAAUUGCCCAGAUACGUGUGUGCGCGCACACUUGGGAGAAUUAACCUUGCAAGACGCGUAACAGCUGAAUCGGAAGGCGACACUGAUCGGCUCGUGUAACGUGAUUCAAUGUGCGCUAUCGCUCAAAGGUACACGGUAUAUGGACGUUCCUUUCAUCACAAUGUAAUUUAGUUACAAAAUCACAGACAGAAAGAUUCAAGGCGAUUUUAUAUUUUAUUAAUGCUAAAAUAUAUUAUAUAAAUAUGACGCGAUCUCAAGGAGCGCGUCAACGGGAAUCGUAGAUUCCCGUUGCGAUAUACAAUCGACGCCACGAAACUGAUCGAUCCUCUAUUUCGUUUAGGAUAAUAGAGACGAUUGAAUUAAUUAUAACGCUGAGAUGUAUGUUGACCGAGUUAAAGUAGUGAACCCAGUGCAGAGAUGUUGACUGAUGUGUAAUCGUAGAUCCAGUAAAGAUCAAUGACGAUGCUGUCGCAGAGGAAAACUCUUGCUGGGUGUUGAUCGCCGCAGCACCAGUCGCUUGCGGGUGAAAAUCCCGGGAGACAUGGGAAAACCCACGUUUCCCCACUUUUUACCUGGUGGAGCAAUAACCAUAAGGAACAUUUUGACUCGAAGGUGCUUUAUACCACUUAACGGUCUCAAAUCGAAAUGCUCAGUUUUGCGACAGUUCCUUAUGAUUAUUACAGUCCAAUUAAUUAUGUUGACGUAGCGAGUGACUGCCUCGACCGAGGGCUAGAUUCCGGGCGACGCAAAGAAUCACUGGACGAAACAAAUAUACUUUCAGAAAUCAAUAUACGACGAAAGAAUUAGCAUUUUUUUUAUUUGGAUGAAUUUUACAAUCAAUUCUCAUUGAGAAUUACAAGUAAAUUUUUCUGGCGUGGUACUAUGUCGUGUUCAAUAAGUGUUUAUCGUGUGUUUGAUUCUAGUUGAAUCUGGUGCUUAAAUCUAAAGGGUAAUUUUAGCCUGCGGAUCUGAUCCGACGUGUCAAGUAAUUGAGUAACUAGUGGGUUUUGGUGGUUGUUAACACUUAUGUUAUAUCUCUAUUACAAGAAUUAGCAUGGAGAACAAUACGAUGCAGUUUUGCCAUUUAAUAUAUUACCUUCAGCUUGUUUGGAGAAAUGGAGAAAUUUGUUUACAGUAAUAGAAGAACUAUCCUAGAUAAUUUUGGUUUAAAACAUGUUAAUACUUCGACAUGUUGUGUAUUUGAUUGUAAUAUAUCAUCGAUAAGAUUUUAAAUAAAGAAAUUAUAAUUCAUAUGAUGUUA
Bombus terrestris (buff-tailed bumblebee) is the source of this 9276-nucleotide long non-coding RNA. RefSeq lists it as uncharacterized. The transcript has 2 exons. NCBI's taxonomy places the organism in Eukaryota, Metazoa, Arthropoda, Insecta, Hymenoptera, Apidae. The record is from RefSeq and is a predicted model, not a curated record.